Molecule: ribosomal RNA, 467 nt
Filed under: uncultured bacterium
Lineage: Bacteria
Description: partial 16S ribosomal RNA
Rfam family: Bacterial small subunit ribosomal RNA
Source: RNAcentral
GACGAACGCUGGCGGCGUGCUUAACACAUGCAAGUCGAACGAUGACGACCGAGCUUGCUCGGUCUGAUUAGUGGCGAACGGGUGAGUAACACGUGAGCAACCUGCCCUUCACUCUGGGAUAACCUCGGGAAAUCGGGGCUAAUACCGGAUAUGAGCUCCUGUCGCAUGGCGGGUGUUGGAAAGUUUUUCGGUGAAGGAUGGGCUCGCGGCCUAUCAGUUUGUCGGUGAGGUAGUGGCUCACCAAGGCGAUGACGGGUAGCCGGCCUGAGAGGGCGACCGGCCACACUGGGACUGAGACACGGCCCAGACUCCUACGGGAGGCAGCAGUGGGGAAUAUUGCACAAUGGGCGAAAGCCUGAUGCAGCGACGCCGCGUGAGGGAUGACGGCCUUCGGGUUGUAAACCUCUUUCAGCAGGGAAGAAGCGAAAGUGACGGUACCUGCAGAAGAAGCGCCGGCUAACUACGUG